This 95-nucleotide transfer RNA is filed under the name Acidobacteriota bacterium. Its description in RNAcentral is "tRNA-Sec". It matches the Rfam family "Selenocysteine transfer RNA". Lineage: Bacteria; Pseudomonadati; Acidobacteriota. The record is from RNAcentral.
GGAAGCGAAUAGGGUCUGGUGGCCCUCUCGGACUUCAAAUCCGAUGGACGUCGUCGAAAGGCGGCGUUGCUGGGUUCGAUUCCCAGGCGCUUCCG